This 1008-nucleotide long non-coding RNA is filed under the name Homo sapiens (human). RNAcentral describes it as "non-protein coding lnc-SLC22A31-8:2". Lineage: Eukaryota; Metazoa; Chordata; Mammalia; Primates; Hominidae. The record is from RNAcentral.
GGACUGGUGUGCACACAGGUGUCCAUGUGCCUGUAUGUAUGCAGGUGUGUGUGUGACACACACAUACAUGUGAUAUACGCAGGCGUGUGAGAUACACAUACAUGUGACAUAUGCAGGCGUGUGAGAUACACAUACAUGUGAUAUAUGCAGGCGUGUGUGAGACACAUACCUGUGGUGUAUGCAGCUGUGAGACACAUACAUGUGAUAUAUGCAGGUGUGUGAGACACACACAUGAUAGAUGCAGGCGUGUGAGGCAUAUAUGUGUAUGCAGGUGUGUGAGACACAUACAAGUGAUAUAUGCAGAUGUGUGUGACAUACAUGUGGUGUAUGCAGGCAUGUGUGACACAUAUACAUGUGAUAUAUGCAGGCGUGUGUGAGACAUACAUACCUGUGGUGUAUGCAGGCGUGUGAGAUACACAUACAUGUGACAUAUGCAGGCGUGAGACAUACAUACCUGUGGUGUAUGCAGGCGUGUGAGACACAUACAUGUGACAUAUGCAGGCGUGACAUACAUACCUGUGGUGUAUGCAGGUGUGUGAUACACAUACAUGUGACAUAUGCAGGCGUGUGACAUACAUACCUGUGGUGUAUGCAGGCGUGUGAGAUACACAUACAUGUGACGUAUGCAGGCAUGUGACAUACAUACCUGUGGUCCACACCUGUCUGCACACGCCUCCUGUUACUGAUGGUUAACUCAGUGGCUGGCACACUCACCACCUUCUCACUGUGGCUGGCAACAAGCUGCUGUUCUGCACCAGGACCUCCUCUCAGGCUCCCAGCAAAGGAGGCCGGCAGCUUUGACACGAGGGUCCGGGAGCCGUGGCUCCUCCAGGUUAGUGGUGCACACAGCGCUUGCCACACCGCCCACUGCCUCACUCCGUGCUGUGCCUGGUGCUGCGUGGGUCCUGAGGCUCCUGCUCCUGACCCUGGUGCCGCUGGGACAGAGUCCAGGUGGGAGGGCAGUGUGUGGUGUGUGUGUGGCCAGUCCCCAGGGACAGGACGCCCGAG